Molecule: long non-coding RNA, 327 nt
Organism: Leopardus geoffroyi (Geoffroy's cat)
Lineage: Eukaryota; Metazoa; Chordata; Mammalia; Carnivora; Felidae
Exons: 2
Source: RefSeq, a predicted model, not a curated record
UUUGGUCUUGGAAAACUUACCCAAAGGAAAUUUUGAAUUUGAAUAGCAAACACACUUUCCCAGGUCAUUUUGUUUCUCUGGACCUGAUAGAGAAAGGAGAAGCAAGAAACUACCUCUGCCACCAUUUGCAGCCCCAAAUGAGAAGCAGUGUUCAAAGGCCAGUGCCCAACAUACAGACGGGCUGAUAAUGAUGUGAGCCUGGCAAAGACAAGACUACUCGGAUAUGACUGAAGAUGAGGAUCCAUGGAUGUGUAUUUGUGCAUACAGUGAAAGACCUCCCCCUGAACAUUUCGUCUCUAAGAGUCAAUAAAAGCCAUUUUGCACUUA